Molecule: ribosomal RNA, 118 nt
Organism: Cylindrospermum stagnale PCC 7417
Lineage: Bacteria; Bacillati; Cyanobacteriota; Cyanophyceae; Nostocales; Nostocaceae
Source: Rfam
CCUGGUGUCUAUUGCGUAGUGGAACCACACUGACCCCUUCCCGAACUCAGUGGUGAAACGCUACUGCGGCAACGAUAGUUUUUGGGUAGCCAAACGCAAAAAUAGCUCGAUGCCAGGU